RNAcentral lists this ribosomal RNA (376 nucleotides) under uncultured bacterium. RNAcentral describes it as "bacterial SSU rRNA". It matches the Rfam family "Bacterial small subunit ribosomal RNA", at positions 524 to 898 of the family's 1533-position model. The record is from RNAcentral.
AACGUAGGAGGCAAGCGUUAUUCGGAUUUACUGGGCGUAAAGGGUGUGCAGGCGGUUCGGAAAGUUGGAUGUGAAAGCUCCUGGCUUAACUGGGAGAGGUCGUUCAAAACUUCCGGACUAGAGGAUGAGAGAGGAAAGCGGAAUUCCGAGUGUAGUGGUGAAAUGCGUAGAUAUUCGGAGGAACACCAGUGGCGAAAGCGGCUUUCUGGCUCAUUUCUGACGCUCAUACCCGAAAGCUAGGGUAGCAAACGGGAUUAGAGACCCCGGUAGUCCUAGCCGUAAACGAUGUAGACUUGGCGUCGGUGGGGUAAAAUCCAUCGGUGCCGGAGCUAACGCGAUAAGUCUACCGCCUGGGGACUACGGCCGCAAGGUUAAA